RNAcentral lists this unclassified non-coding RNA (272 nucleotides) under uncultured fungus. RNAcentral's name for it is "partial contains 5.8S ribosomal RNA, internal transcribed spacer 2, and large subunit ribosomal RNA". The stretch from base 1 to 52 matches the Rfam family "5.8S ribosomal RNA", at positions 103 to 154 of the family's 154-position model. Lineage: Eukaryota; Fungi. The record is from RNAcentral.
AACGCAACUUGCGCCCUCUGGUAUUCCGGAGGGCAUGCCUGUUUGAGUGUCAUGAAACCUCAAUCCCCCAGGGUUCUGCUCUGUUGGGUGAUUGGAUUUGGGCGUUGCCGGCCUGGCCGGCUCGCCUUAAAGGCGUUAGUGGGAUCAGUAAACCCGAUCGGCGUAAUAAGUUUCGCUGAGGAGGUUUGCGCGAGCCCGCUCACAACCCUCUCCUUUGGAGAACACUCUUUUGAUCUGACCUCAAAUCAGGUAGGACUACCCGCUGAACUUAA